Molecule: long non-coding RNA, 778 nt
Organism: Nymphaea colorata (pocket water lily)
Lineage: Eukaryota; Viridiplantae; Streptophyta; Magnoliopsida; Nymphaeales; Nymphaeaceae
Exons: 4
Source: RefSeq, a predicted model, not a curated record
CCCGUGAACCGUCUGCUCUCCCUCUUGACUCUCGCUGAGUUGGUGUCUUCCCCUCUUCCGUCGACCACGACGAGUCUUCCAAACUGCUCUGAGGCUCCCUCUCUUCCGCAGACCGCUGCUGCUGCCUUCUCUUGCCGCUGCUGCCUCAGACGCGUCUGUCGCCUUUCCCCUUCUCUCGCUGCUGCUGCCUCACAGCCUCACACGCGUCCCUCUCACUCUUGCUGGACUCUUGCUCCCGCCUUUACGCCAGUCAGACGCAUCCGUCGCAUUUCCCCUUCUCUCGCUGCUGCUGCCUCACAGCUUCAGACGCGUCCCUCUCGCUCUUGCUGGACUAGAGGACCGUUAAAAUGUUCUAUUGUUAGAGACUCGGAAGCAGAUUUGCAGGAGUAUCGUUAGGGACUGCUUUUUUUAUGUAACUUAUGGCAUUAUGCCUCUCCUUUUUUCCGUUUGGGUAGAUGAGGUUUCUGCCAUUGUCCGUGAUAUGGGUUCUUACACAUGCAAAGCUGGAUAUGCUGGGGAAGAUGUUCCAAAGGCAGUGUUUCCAUUUGAAGGUUGAAGCAAACUAGCUUGAAGGGCAGCUUCCUCGAAACUUGGGCAACUUAAUCAGAUCUUUUAUCCUUCUUCUUCUAGUCUUAGUCUUAAUAUUGGGGUCUUACUACUAUGUGGACUUCUGAAUACGGUCCAACUUUUUGAUUGAAGGUGGACCUUAAAAUUUAUUUGAGUUUGACAAUAGUCCAUCAUAAAUGUGAUAAAUUAUAUAUAAGAAAGGAAGUUUUGC